Molecule: long non-coding RNA, 559 nt
Filed under: Brassica napus (rape)
Lineage: Eukaryota; Viridiplantae; Streptophyta; Magnoliopsida; Brassicales; Brassicaceae
Description: long non-coding RNA (BNAP_LNC000206)
Source: RNAcentral
GGUGAUGUGUGGAUGAGUGAUGCGUAAUGUGUGGAUAUGUAAUGUUAAUGUGUUUAUAGUAGAUAACAUGGACAAACUCUCUGUUUUGAUUCCAUAAAAUUAUACAACAAUACGUGGACAUAGACUCAUGUUACUAAAAUUAUACCAUAAAACGUGGACACAGACUAUGUUAUCUCCAAUACAAACACUUGGCUUCUUCAGUUCAAUUGAUAAAUUAUCUGCAAUUAAACUUCAAUCAAGAUGAGAAAUAAAUGAUAUUGUAAGUAUGAGCGGAGAGAAAAACCGAAGAAGCAUGUCAGAGAGUAAUAGAUCUUGCAUGUCAGAGAUUUUUGAUCUAAGCAUUUGCGCUUUGUCAUGAUGUGGAUGGAUGUAAUUUUGAUUAGAAUUGAAUUUAGAUUCCGAGAUGAUGAAUGGAAUCGAAGGAAUAUUGUCCAUAUCCACAACUAGUUUAUAAUUCUGUUAAGAUGUUUAUGUCCACAACUAAUUUAUAAUUCUGUUAUCCACGCUUUGGUGUCCACGUCCACAUUUUGUUUACACAUUAAUAUAUAUAAUAUAUAUA